Molecule: long non-coding RNA, 15057 nt
Filed under: Octopus vulgaris (common octopus)
Lineage: Eukaryota; Metazoa; Mollusca; Cephalopoda; Octopoda; Octopodidae
Source: RNAcentral
AUAUAUAUAUAUAUGUAUGUAUAUAUGUGUAUGUAUGUAUAUAGAUAUAUGUAUGUAUGUAUAUAUACAUUAAGAUUAUACAUGUGUGUGUGUUUGUCAUAUGCAGAUAAGGUUAUAUAUUCAGUUGUAAAUGGUUUGUGUAAUCAUGAAAUAACAAUCUUGUUUACCUUCGGUAUGAGACAUAUAUACACCACCCUCUACAUACUGCUAACACCGGUGUUUACUGAAUAUCACACACACACACACAUACACACAAAUGCAGAAAGAUAACAUGUGGGGGUGAAUGCUACAGUUUAGGUCUAAAGAACCUGGACAUUUCCUGGUAGCAUUAGUAAUGCUUGGCACUGCUGCAGGAGUGAUUGCCGUCAGAAGGUACCGGAACAAUAUUGAUGUUUCCAAUCAGCAUCUGAUGAAGAAAACAUCCUACAGGGCAAGCUCGAUGUUAGAACCUUUAUCGUCUCUGUGCUGACCAGACUAUCAGUUGUUAUACGUCCGCUGGCCGGUCAUCAUGUACUUCUUUUGCAUUGAUGCAGCUUUUGAAUGACCACCCCACUCUGCCGGCUUGGCAGGAAGGCAGGCCAGGCCAACAUUCCGCUUGAAUGAAACGCCAGUCUGUCACAGAGGGUCCCCAUUUACUGUUGAGUGGGCUGGAGCAGUGUAGAAUGAAGUGUCUUGUUCAAGAACACAGUGCACCACCAAUCAGGGAAUUGAAAUCACAACUUUUGCUUAUGAGCACAAUACCUUAAUUACAAGGCCACACACACACACACACACAUGUACAUACACACAUGCUACAUAAAUUCCGAAGAAUUUUCCAGCAUGUAAUUCAAACCGACACAUCACUUGUUCUGUAUUUUGAAAUUUCUAAACAUUUCUCCUUCAGUCGGUCCUUAUCAUUUUAAGGUUUAACCCUUUAGCAUUUAAGCCAGCCAUAUCCGGUCCAAAUAUUCUCUAGUCAAUCAACCACAUCAAAAUAUCAAAGCUUUAAGUGCUUUGUUAAUUCAAAUCGAAGUGAAUAAAUAAGCAUUACUUCUGAUAAUCUGGAUGCUGAAGGAUUAAACUUAAUCAUUAAGGAGCACAUUUCGUAUUUUAUAUAUGUGUCUGUCUGUCAUCUAACGAGACUAAACUUCUAUAGUUGACACAAUACCAUCUUAUCCAGUCUUCUAAGCAAUUGUCUGAGAUACCUUAGACAUCAGUUUGUUUAGGCAUACUUUGCUAUAUGGAUACGGAUACUCACUGGAUCAUAAACUAUUAUACACCGUACAUUUAAGAAUAAAAUGGUUUAAACCAAUUCCAUUCAUCAUACGCUAAUUAUAGAGAUAGGAAUUAACAGGUAGAGAAGAAAAUAUAUAAGAAAUUUUAAAAAAUGAAAACCGAGAGGGGUGAGUCCCUUGGGUGGAAAUAUGUCUGUGACAAAACAGAGGUGAAUAUAAAGUGGAAAAAUGUCUUUAUUAGAGGUUAGAUGCAAAAACAAGAACAAAAUAACAAAAAAAGUAACAAAAAAACCCCAACAACAAUAGAAUAUAACACAAAAACACUCCUUCCUCCCCACAGAAAACAAAAGAUUGUCACUCACAGCUUGCUUUAGUUGUUUUAAACCCUAGUAAAAACCUGAUUUUUUUUUUCUUAAUUUUUUUCCCUUUCCUUUUUUAACCUCCAUUUUAUGAAAGAUAAAAUUAUCAUGUACAUAUAUAUAUGUAUAUACAUGUGUGUGUAUUUAUAUAUAUGUAUAUAUACAUAUACACACACACAUAUAUAUAUAUAUAUACGUGUGUGUGUGUAUAUAUAUAUGAAACAACUUUUUCUCUUCUUCAAUUUUUAUAUUUGAAAAAAUAUAAAUUAAACAACAACAGUAAGUCAUUUGUGAGUGUUUAAUUCGUUAGGGACCCAGAAAUGUUCAACCCCCAUAAACAUAAAUGGGUUAUUUUUUUUUUGAUUUUUCUUCACAACUUUAAUGUUAAUAAUAAUAAUAAUAACAACAAUAACAAGAAUCAACAAGAAACCCCCUAAUUACAAAGUGAAAAGUACAAACUCAUUGAGGGAUUUAGGGGAUUAAUAAAAUCCAGAAAACACAAGGUAUUAAAAAUAAUAAAAAAAAGAUCAUGAAAGAAUUAGUGGGCAAGUUGAUUAAGAAAUGAAAUUUUAAUGACUUUUCUUAAUUAGGUGCCUACCAAGAUGAUAAUUUGGUUGUUUUAUACCAUUGGCACAGGGAGGACCUCAAAAUUUUUGUAAUAGUUGAUUAAAUCAACCCCGGUAUAUGACAGGUAUUUUCUCAACUCCUGAAAGAAUGAAAGGCAAUGCCAACUGCAACAGGAUUUAAACUCAGUGUAAAUAAAGAAGGGAUGUGAGUAAAUACCACAAGGCAUUUUUGUCUGAUGCUCUACCGACUACCAAUAAUAAUAAUUUUGAAUUUUCCACAAGGGGGCACAGAUGUUUAAAGAAGAGGGGCAGUCAAUAUACUUGAGUAUAUUGACUGCCCCAGCUUGGGAAUUAAGUAAAGAAGGGAUUUAACUAAACACCACCAGGUAUUUUGUCCAAUGCUCAACCAAUCGACUCCCCUGUCAAUAACGAUUUCAAAUUUUGCCAACCCCAGUAUUUCACUGGUACUUGUUUUAUUAACCCCAAAAGGAUGAAAGUCAGUCGUGCUAACGAUUCUGCUAGCUCGCUGCUUUUACCCUGUCAGUAACGAUAAUUGUUUAUAAUAGAGGCACAAAGCCAAAAAUGUGAGGAGAUGCAUUAUUAGUCAAAUAAAUUGACCCUAGUACUUUGCUGGUACAAAAUGCUAUUGGCUCCAGAAGUACAAAUAGUAAAAUAGUCAUUGGUGAGAUUUGAAAUUGGGGAUUUUAAGAACCAGAACUAAACACUGCAAGGUAUUUCGUCUGAUACCCUAAUGAGUCUCCCAAAACCAUUGUCCUUAAUAAUCUUUUCUACGACAGGGACAAGGACUCGGGGAGUGGGGGGUAGUAGACUGCAUUGACCCUUGACCCAGUGUAAUCAACAGGUACCUGUUUCACUGGCCCUGAAAGGAUGAAAGGCAAAGUCGACCUCCGCAGAAUUUAGACUCAGAACAUACAACUGGAAGAAAUACUUGCUAUUUUGUCUGCUGUGCUAACCAUUCUGCCAGCUCGCUGCCUUAAUAAUGAUGAUAAUAAUAAUGAUCCUUUCUACUAUAGGCACAAGGCCUGAAAUUUUGGGGCAUGGGACCUAGUCGAUUACAUCAACCCCAGUACCUCAGUGGUACUUAUUUUAUCAACCCCGAAAAGAUGAAAGGCAAAGUCGACCUUGGCAGAAUUUGAACUCAGAAUGUGAAGACAGAUGAAAGCAUUUUUCCCAGUGUGCUAAUGAUUCUGCAAAGCUCACCACCUCAGUAAUAACCCUUUCUACUAAUAGGUGCCAGGGAGUUGGGGGUUAUUGAUCACAUUGGCCUCAGCACAGAACUGGUAUUUUAUUUUGCCACCCCUGAAGGGAUGAACGACAAAGUUGGAUAUAAAGAGCUGGAACAAAUACCUCAGGGCAUUUUAUGUUUUUUUACAAGUGAUUCUGUCAGUCCACCACCUUAGUAUAUAAUAAUAAUAAUAACAAUAAUAACAAUAAUAAUAAUAACAAUGAUAAUAAUAAUAAUAAUAAUAAUAAUAAUAAUAAUGGUUUCAAAUUUUGGCACAAAGCCAGCAAGUUCAGGGGAGGGUGUAAGUCGAUUGCAUCGACCCCAGUAUGCAACUGGUACUUAUUUCAUCGAUCCCGAAAGGAUGAAAGGCAAAGUCGACCUCGGCGGAAUUUGAAAUAAUAAAUUCUAAUGGUUUCUUAGAAAGGUAUGAAGUUGGACAUUGUUUAAGAGUGAGAGGUGGUGGGGUGGGGGAAACGGUUAAGUUGUGACAGUCAUGCCUCCUUAGGGGGCAUCUGCAACCUAAAUGAAGUAGAUUAGUACAAAAUAAGUGCUGAAGAAUCUUGUGAUGGUGGUAGGGAUUUAGCUAACCUUUGCACUACAGUGCUUCUACAAUAAUAAUAAUAACAGUAACAACAAUAAUAAUAAUAAUAACAAUAAUAAUAAUAAUGAUAACAAUAAUAAUGUCUCUACUGAGGCAAGAAGCCGUUAAGAUAUUUGGAGAAGAAUAUAAAGAGAUUAUAUACAUUCAUUGUAGAAAACUGUAAAAAAGUUUGUUCAUUUAUUUAUUUAUUUAUUUAUUUAUAUUUGUGUGUGUAUGUGAGUGUGUGUAUAUAUAUAUUAUUUAUAUCUCACGGUAGUCUUUAAAUAUCAAACGAGGUACCGUGAGAUAUGUUUACAGUGAUAAGCUACCCAGCAAUGUCCUUCCACCCCGCCUGUUUCUUAAUGUGAUUUUUAUAUUUAGGUAACUUCACUUUCUCGUAUUAUGUAUUAUCUGUAUACGCAGCAGCUAUAUACAUACAUACACACACACACACACACACAUAUAUAUAUUCAUUAAUCUCAUUUCUCCCUAUAGCUUUAUGAAAUGAAUAUAUAUAUAUAUGUGCAUAUAUAUAUAUAUACAUGUAUGUAUGCAUAUGUAUAUAUACAUACAUGUUUGUAUGUGUAUGUAUAUAUGUACAUACAUGCAUAUAUAUAUUGUUGAUGUCAUGAGAAUUUAGAAACUUCAAGAAUGUGAAACAAUCCUUUUUAGGAACGGUGAAUCUCGAAGCAGAUGAAGCUAUAACAACAGCAUGUGAAUAUUGGGUUAAAAUGCUGACUUCAUUCUAAUAUUUACACUCUAUUAUGUAUAGCUUUAUUUGCUUCAAGUUUCACCAUUCCUAAAAGGAAUCACACACAUAUUUGGAGUAAAGAAGUGUGUUCCCAUGCAAGAAAGAAUAAAGGAGAAUUUGUUUCGGGGUCCGAAAAUGUACCUGAAUCUCAAAACAUGUAGUUGCUUAAAAAUCUUGCAACAGAUUUGCCAAAACCUCAAACCGGCCUUGACAAUCUCUUGCCGUGGGGAACGGAAAAUCCUGCAUUUCGGACAGAGUCCUUAAUCAGAGAAAAGUUGACAAGAAUGAAAUUAAAGGAAAACAGGAGAAUUUUACAUCCUCUAAGUUUGGUGUUUUGGUGAAUCUGUUGCAAAAUUUAGCAACAACUGCACGUUUUUAAAUUUGGGGUGCAUUUUUGGACCCCGAAACAAAUUCUCAUACAUACAUACAUAUAUAUAUAGAGAGAGAGAGUAGCAAAGUUCUUAAGAUUGGCUUUGAAAAGGAAACAAAGCUUAAAAUUUUUAAGCUUAUACACCUUUGCUGUCAAUAUUCUAUUAUUAAUUAAUAUUCCAUUAUUAAUUAAUUCAUUUUAGUUUUGUUGUUAUACAGGGCUGCCCGUAGCCCUCUUAAAUAGUCUUUACCUCUACCUAACUUAGAAAAAGCAAGUCCCAAAAUUAAUUCUUUUUGUUUUUUUCGCUUUUGUUUAAUUAAUAAGUUCCGUAACAGAAUUUAGAAAAUAAAAUUAUAAUCCAAAAGAUAAUCUGAUAUGCCGCCCAUCCAGUGAUAUGUUGUCUUGGAGUCUCUUCACACAGCUUGAUGAGGAAAUUGCUAUCUACCCUCCCUUAUGCACUGUGUAGAGGAGAAAUGAUAGGGUCACACAACUCAAAACCCCAGUGUAUGUGUAUAUAUUGGAAGUGUGCAUAUUAAGGGUAUAUAUGUGUGUGUAUAUAUAAAACAUAUUUUAACGUGUAUAAGGAAUCCUUCUUUUGUCAAAAAUUAGGUUAAAAAAAUAUGGGAGUUUCUUAAACAUGAAUAGUAUUAUGAUCUUUCACAGAGCCUUUUUUCCAUAUUUUAAGCCCCCAAAAUUAAGGGGUUCCUUAUACACAUUAAAAUAUGGUGUGUGUAUAUAUAUUGGGGGAAAACACAUCCAUUACUUCUUCAUUUUCUCCCCCCAUCCCCCAAUAUUGAUAAUUUCAAUAAUCCCUAACAUACACCAAUGACUUUCGCAUUCUAUGAUAGGGAUUAAACCAGUGGAAUACCUUGGAUUAUAUAAUCCCUCAUGAGGAUAUAACUUCCUCAAAUUAACUAUAUAUUCCUGUCAGUCAUUGGACUGUGGCCAUGCUGGGGCACCGGUUUGAAGCAUUUCAGCCGAACAAAUCAACCACAAUAUUUUUUUUUUUAAAGUUUGCAACUUAUUCUAUAGGUCUCUUUUGGUGAACUGCUAAGUUAUGGGAACAUAAACAAAGCAACACUGGUUGUCAAGCUGUAGCACAGUACACGCAGACACAGACAUGCUUACAGACACAUAUAUACAUGUGUGUGUGUGUGUCCACAUCAUGACAGCAUGGACAAUGAACAUUAAAUGAUGAUGGUAAUGAUAUAUAUAUAUAUAUAGAUAGAUAGAUAGAUAGGAUGGGCUCCCUCACAGUUUCCCCUCAACCAAAUUCUCUCAAGUCAUUGGUUGGUUGAAGACUCUUGCCCAAAGUGUUGCACAAUAUGUAUUGCAGCAGCAAGGGAAAGAUGCAUGCACAUGUGCAGCAUACCCAGUUUUUGCACCAUUGAUUUUAUGAAGACAAGUGGUUGGGAGGGGGAGUUGUUGUAGCUACUUGACCCCGGGAUAUAACUGGUACAGGUUUGCAAGUAUAUAAUGUGUUAUGCUACAGAUAUAUAAGAAAGCAUUAUAUUUGUUUUGAAUUUAGGUAUGCGGUCAAACUUUUGAGGGGAGGGGGCUAGUCAACUCCAAUGACCCCAGCACUUGGCAUGUACUUUUUAUUUUACUGACUCCAAAAGUUGACCUGAGUGGGGUUUGAUCUCUGAAUCUACAGAACUGAAAGUAAAUACCACAAGGGAUUUUGCCUAAUAGCUCUAGUAGUUCUGCUGAGGGCCAGCAGUUUUAAGCGGUGAGUGAAGUCAACUACAUCAACCCCUGUUCUAAACUGGUACAUCUCUUUUCAACCUUAGAGAGAUGAAAGGAAAAUCAGAUCUCGGUGGAAUUUGAACUGAGAAUGGCAAGCUGGAAGAAAUGGUGCUAAGCAUUUCAUCUGACACAGUAAUGACUCUACCAGCUGGCCACCUUAAUAAUAAUAAUAAUAAUAAUAAUAAUAAUAAUCGUUACUACUAUAGGCACAAGGUCUAAAAAUUUGGGGGAGGAGGAUAGUCAAUUACAUUGACCCCAGUAUUCAACUGGUACUCAAUUUAUCGACCCCGAAAGGAUGAGAGGUAAAGUCAACCUUGGCAGAAUUUGAACUCAGAACAUAGUGACAAGUGAAUAUAGCUAAACAUUUUGUCCAGUGUGCUAACAAUUCUGCCAGCUCACCACCACAUAAUAAUAAUAAUAACAACAACAACAACAAUCCUUUCUACUAUAGGCACGAAGCCUGAAAUUUUGGUGAAGUGAGUCUAGUUGCUUACAAUGACCCCAGGGCUCAAAUGGUACUUAUUUUAUUGAUCCUGAUCGGAUGAAAGGCAAAAUCGACCUUGGCAGAAUUUGAACUCAGAACCCCCAAAAAAUCAGAUGGAAUGCUGAUACAAAAGGUUCUGCUAGCUUGCUGCCCUAAUAAGCACUGAAAUUUGCAGACGAUUCAUAGUGCUGAGCUUAUUCAUCCCCUCCCCUCAACAACCCCAAAGGAAGAAGGGCCCAAUGAUACACCGGGACCCUAUCUUGUCAGGGAUAUAUUUUAUAGUUAAUGCUACAGAGAAAGGGAGAUGAGUGCUGGCUUCAUGAAUCCUUGUGGGGUUGCUUGUAAUAAAUUGUUGCUCUGGCAAUAAUGUCUGCUUUUCCAUGCUUGCAUGGGUUGAACAGAGUUCAAGGCAGAGUCUAAUACGUCCCCAUGGCCAACUUUUAUUUUCUGUCUUUUUGGUAGAAGAUUGAAAGAUCAAUCACACUACUAGUAUGACACAUUGAUACUUAUGACAACUGUCACAUGUCCAGACAAAGGAGACACACAUAUAUAUAUCAUCAUCAUUAUCGUUUAAUGUCCACUUUCCAAGCUAGCAUGGGUUGCACGAUUUGACUGAGGUCUGGCGAACCAGAUGGCUGCACUAGACUCCAAUCUGAUCUGGCAGAGUUUCUACAGCUGGAUGCCCUUCCUAACGCCAUAUAUACAUACAUACAUACAUGUGUACAUAUACACAUACAUGUUCAUCCUUAUGCUUUGUGCUGAUUUUUAAUAUAUAAAUGUACAUACAUAUAUAUAUAUAUAUAUAUAAUAUAAAUGUACAUAUAUAUAUGUGUAUAAUAUGUACAAAUAUAUAUAUAUAGGGGUCUUCCCUUAGGCAGGUCCUGUGCAUGUGCACCUUCUCCAGCACUCUCUCUACAAACUGGGAGAGGGUCUGCACCCUCCCCUACCACCUUUAAAUAGAUUUCUGGAACUUUGGCUACCACGACUAGACUUGGGAUGAAUACCAUAGUGGUUUACUGUUGCCUUCUACAGGCAGGUGGGAUUUGAACUCGGAAUGUAGAGAGCCGGGAGAUAUACCGUGAAGUAUUUCUGCUCACGUGCCAACAAUUCUGUCACCCACAAAGCAGUGUAAAGUGAACCAUUUAGCUCAAGAACACAGCACGUUGCCUGAUCUGGGAAUAGAACCCAUGAUCUAGCAAGCUUGAGUCCAACACCCUAACAAGCCAUGCGCCUUUACUGUGUGUGUGUGUAUGUAUGUAUACACAUAUGUACAUGUGUUUGUAAUAUAUGUCUUGUAUGUAUAUUACACAUACAUACAAGGAGCACAAAUUUUAUGGACCCCUCCUGAUUUGAAAGAAGGGAACAAAGAAAAAAUAAAUGGAUAUAGUCAGACUCAAAACUAGUAUGUGGUCCUUGUUUUAUUAUCCACUUUUCCAUGAUUUCUCUCUCUCGCUCACACACACACACACACAGACAACAUACUUUUGAUGUCUACUUUUCUAUGCUUGCUUGGAUAGAAUUUGUAGAGGCAGAUUUUCAACAGCUGGAUGCCCUUCCUGUUGCCAACCUUCAAUCAUUUCCAAGUAAGGUAAUAUUUUCACAUAGCUUGACAUGUUUCUAUGGAAAUGAAGGAAACCAUUUGUGUGAUGGUAACAAUCAUUUGCAACUAUUGUGCAAUGUCAAAAUAAGAAGAAAUAAACACCUACAUAUAUAUGUAUGUAUGUAUAUACAUUUGUGUGUCCGUGGAUAUUGAUAUAUAUACAGGUUUCUUUCAGUUUUUGUCUGUUAAAACCAUUCUUAAGGCAUUGGUUAGCCUGAGGCUAUAGAAGACAGGUGCCCAAGGUGCCAUGCAGCCAGACAAGCUGAAAACACAUACAAUCCUGUUUCCUUUCCACUAUAGAAACCUGAGAGAAAAGGAGCACAAAUUUUGUGGACCCCUCCUGAUUUGAAAGAAGGGAACAAAGAAAAAAUUUACUCCAAUUUAUAAAAUAAGUGUAUGACAAACUAGAAUCACAGCAUAUGGGUGACAGUGACAUCUAUUUUGUAAUAGGCUCUAAACCUUUUUUUUUUUUUUUUACAUUAUGUUGGGGGCAGAGAUGGGUUCAGAACAAGGGGGAAGGGUCUGACAUUUUUAUCUUAAUGUUUGGAGCUGAGAUGAAUUUCGAAAACGAAUGCCAACCAUUUCGCUUUGUUUUUUUUAUAUGCAGAUUUGAAAAUGCUGCGUGAGACAAUGGGUGUUUUAUAAUAUUUGCUAAACCAUGCAGAUUUUAAUAGGGAGUAAAAUGUUUACAUCUGCGAUCCAGCAAUUUGACACUGGCCAAAUGGUCCAAAGGUCAAAAGGUCAGGACUGGCAGCCGUCUGUGUUGGAAUACAGAAUAUGGAGAGGAUUGUGCAGCUAUUAUUGUUGGGUUACAACUUACAACUAGUUAUUGUUGUCUUGGUAAUUCUUUCUGCUAUAGGUACGAAGCCUGAAAUUUCAUGGGGGGGAUCUAGUUGAUUACAUCAACCCCCAGUGCUCAACUGUUACUUAUUUGAUUGACCCCGAAAGGGUAAAAGGUAAAGUUGACUUCAGUGAAAUUUGAACUCAGAACGACCAGAAUGCUGCUAAGUAUUUUGUCCCUUCUGCUAACAAUGCUGCCAGAUCACUGCCUUUAAUAAUAAUAAUAAUCCUUUUUACUAUCAGCACAAAGCCUAAAAUUUUAAGGGAAGGAGCUAGUCAAUUACAUAGUCCCCAGUUCCCAGGUAGUACUUAUAUCAUUGACUCCAAAAGAAUGAAAGGCUAAGUUCACCUUGGCAGAAUUUAAAUUUAGAACAUAAAGCUGGUAGAGAUGCUGCUAGGCAUCUUGUCCAGUUGGCUUAUGAUUCUACUACCUUCAUAUCCUCUCAAUAGUAAUUGCAGGUGUAGACGUGGCCAUGUGGUUAAACAAUUUGCUUUCCAACCAUAUAGUUUCGGGUUCAGUCCCACUGAGUGGCACAUAGUGCAAGUGUCUCCUUGUAUAGCUCCAGAUCAACCCAAAACAUUGGGUGUGGAUGUGGUAGGUGGAAACUGAAAGAAGCCUGUUGUGUGCAUGUGUGUAUGCAUUUGCUUGUUUUUUUUGUCUUGACCUCAUGCAACAGUUGUAAAUGUGUGUCACCAGUGAAGGACACCAAAUGGUGUCCUUUGCUUCCAAUCUUCUAUGAAGUGCAUGUCUAGCUAAGAGGAAAUAUUACCUUGCCUGGAAACAGGUAAGGGUUGGCAACUGCAAGGGCAUCCAGCUGUAGAAAUGUCUCAAUGAAUUCUGUUUAACCCAUACAAGUAUGGAAAAGUAGACAUUAGAACAUGAUUAUAUAUAUAUAUAUGUAUGUAUGUGUGUGUGUAUGUAUGACCAUCAUCCUUUAACAUCUGUUUUCCACACGGGCAUGUAUGUAUAUAUGCAUGUGUAUGUAUAUAUACAUAGAGGCCAUCACUUGGUAAUGUCUUCACUAAUUAUUUUAGGAUCAUAUAUAGUUGCGAGCGGAGAGGCAUCUUUUUGGCUCUGCCAGCCUUGAUCCAGCUGAAUAUUUAGAAUGAGACAACUAGAGGGAGCGAGAGAGACCACUGUAUCAGCAUUAGGUCAGGUUGGUACCUAUUACAGCUGAGUAGACUGGUGCAACAUGAAAUGAAAAUGCCUUGCUUAAUUAAGGAUACAACACUGCUCAGUCCAGGAAUUGAACUCCCUAUCUUUAGAUCAUGAACCUAAUACCCUAACCACAUCAUUUAUAUAUUACACACACACUACAGAUAUAUACACAUGACACUAAGAGGUAUCAUUGAGACAGAGAAGUGACAGAAAAGAGAAGUGUGUGUGUAUAUAUAUAUAUAUAUAUAUAUCAUAUAGGAGUGUGUUAGUGUGUGUGUGUAUGGGGCAAGGAUAUAUAAACUAAUAUAAAUAGGGGAAAGGUCCAUCCCCCUUCCUCUCUCUCUCAGAUCACCCUCUUCACUUGUUAAUAACGUGUAUAGAAAGGUGGUGCAAAAAAAUAAUUUUAGGAGCAAGAUGAAACCGGUGUGGAAAGAAUGGGAGGGAGUGACUUUCAUGCUGUUUCUUUUGUUAUUUUUUUUUAUUGUUUGAGAGUACUUGCAAAAAUAUUUUAAACUAAAGUUAGAAGAUAUACUGUAGGACUGGCCCGCAGUAAAUGUACCAGUGUGUGUGUAUACACACACUGUAGUAUGUAUGUACAUCCCUGCAGGAGACCUACCAUGAUGGGUAUAUAUUCACACAAGCCUUGGCCAACAGGAGACCUUUCAUAAUGGGUGUGUGUGUGUGUGUAUACAUAUAUACUGCAGUCUUGGCCAGCAGGAAAUCUACAGCUGUUCCACAUUAUGUUUAUACACACUGCAGUAUAUAUAUAUAUAUAUAUAUAUAUAUAUAUAUAUAUAUAUAUAUAUACACACAGUUCUGCAGGAGAACUACUGCUGUACCACACUGGUACCAGACCAUUAUGAUAUGUGUCUGUGUGUGCACAUAAACACACCACAGUGGUUGACUUUCUCCCAAAAAGUUAAAGAUAUAUUUCAGGAGAAAGGGAAUUAGGUUUGAUCAUCGUGCCUUUCUCAGGGACAUAAUAUAAGCUAAAAGUGGAGUGAGUACUACAGCAGAGUAUCAAAAGUGGGUCUCGAGUUCUUCUUAGAGUACUUUGUUCUUAUAACAAUGAGAAAAGCAGUAACAAAAAAGGUCGGACGGAAUAGUUAUUCAAUCAAUCACACUGGCUCAAACUCAGAGUACCCUAGUUAUUUAAUUAAUCACAUUGAUGCAAACUCGGAGUAGCCUACACGGAUGUCUCACAUUGAUGCAAACUCGGAGUAGCCUACACGGAUGUCUUGAAGUUGAUGUUUAUUGAAAGUUAACGGUGAAAGGGCAACCAGCAUUCUAACAUGUGUAACAGGAGUUUAGUGACUGCAUGUCCGUGAAAGAGGGGGAGAGAGAGAGAGUGUGUGUGUGUGUGUGUGUGUGUUGGUGUUUGUGAGAGAGAAAGAAGAGGUUUGUUAAGCAUUAUAUUUUUCAAAUGAGCAACUUUGGCACUCCUUUAAAACUAAAAUGGGAGUCUCUAAAGUUAUGGGAGGGAAGGACGACAACGAUGGUGGUGUCUGUAACUCCACUAGACACACACUUUGGAUUUAAAUCUCUACAGUAAACAUGGAGGGUGAAUUUGGAGUAAGGGGUAAGGAGUGGGGGGGGGAGAUAGAUAAUGAGAGGUGCCCCACCCUCAUCUCACCUGUUUCCAGGUAUGUGGAUCAAAUCCAACAAUAACCAAAAAUUUAAAGUUUAGCUCUAGCUCCCUAUCUUCACUAAAAUAUAGUUAAAAAGAAAAGGAAAAAAAUUUUAUUUUUUUUUUGUGGGGUGAGGUGAUGGUGGGAUUGUAGAUAUUCAAUGACAUUGACCUUGGUACUUUGCUAGUGCUUUACAUUAUCAACUCCUCAGAAGAAUGAAAGGUAAAGUAGACCUUGGUUGGAUUUGAACUUGGAACAUAAAAGUCCAUAACUAAAUAUUGUAUUUUGUCCAUUGCUAGAAUGUCCCUUACAUCAUCCUACACUCUCAUAAUAAUAAUAAUAAUAAUAAUAAGGAUUUCAAAUUUUGGCUGGUGUGUACUAAUGAUAAUGGCAGCUAAGUUUUGAGGGGAGGGGCUAGUCAUUAUUAUUGACCUCAAUACAUAACCGGUACUUUUAUCAAAUUUCAAAAUGACAACAGGCAAAGUUGACCUUUGAUGGUCAGUCUGAUCUCUACAUUGUUAGAAAUAGAGAUUUUUGACUCAAUGCCACAAAGCCAUGCUUCGUUUUUCUUUUUAGCCUUUUCACUGCAAAAUUAAAUUUCCUUGUUAUUCUACUAAUGAUGUUUAAUAUCUAUAAAAAAAUUUUUAAAAUUCUGCAAGUCAUGUUGCCACAGCAAUAAACUUCAUGUCUUCACAAGAAAUCGUUUCAAACACGACAUUCCUCGACAAAAGAUAGAUUGAUAUAUAAAACUGCUUUUGUCGGUCAGAGAUAAUGUAAUUCUGAGAGGACAUAUCUGAUUUCCACAGCAAAAGGAUUAACCAAUGCUGGCAGCAACAAUGAGGAUGAUUACGCUAAUGAAGUUAAUUAAGACAUUGAUGACAUUCUUUAUUCUCUUUAUGUAGUAAUUAAUUUUAACCCUUUUACAGUGAAAUUAAAUUUCAUGGUUAUUUCCAGUCCUGAUAUUAAACAUCUACCAGCAAAAUAGAAUUGAUAUUUUGGCAAGUUGUGGUGCCUGAAACUUGGCAAAUCUAAACAAGAAACAUGGCAUUUCUCAACAAAAGGUUUAUAUAGAACUGCUUUCCUCAGUUUGAGGGAAUGAAAUUUUGAAUGGACAUGCAGGAUUUCAGCAGUAAAGGGGUUAAGGUAGGGAUGUAGCUGCAUCUUGGCACACAUUGUGUUGUGCCAAUUCUGCCUGAGAAUUACAUUAAGGAUCCACAUGCCUGUGGAGUACUCAACCACAUGAAUGUUAAUUACGAAGCAGGUAAUUUGGUUGAGCGCACAAUUGAAUCCUUAUAGUCAAACAGAGGGAGUACUGUCCAUAGCUGCAAUUAUAGUGACUGUAACAUGGUAUGGUACUCACAUCAGUGGCAGGCUUAGAAGGGGGGAGUAAGUUGCCCCUUCCGCCUAUAGACUGGGGUGGUACCUUAAGCAAAUUCUAGCAGCCCCUAAACCUCAUGAGCCAGGGAUACAGUGAAAAUGUUGGAUAAUCAAGUUGGAGGAGUCCCACACCAUUGGCUGAAAGGUACCAUCAGCCGACUGUUGGGUGCUGACCAAAGUGAGCUGCUAUUGCACAGCAACCUUGUCUUUAACUAUGUUUGGUACAUUCUUGUACACCUCUUGGUAUUUGGCAUAAGUUCUGAGAGAGAGGCAGUCUGGUGGUGGGGAUGGCACCAAUUGCCUUACUCACCAACCAAAGGCAUUUUGUUCAGAGAACUGAGCAUUCAGUGUUAACUAUGACAGACAGCUGCCACUGCCGACUACGACGGACAAGACAGUUUCAUUUUAUUGAUAAAGGGCAUGAUAUUGAUGAGAUGUAACUACAGAACAUAAGGGGACAUGGACCUAACUAGAACAUUGCAAGGAAACCUGUUUUCUGCUAACUCUACAACAAAAAUAAUCAUUUCUAAUAUAAGAUACAAGGUCACAUGUUCCAGGAGGUGAUGCGGUAGAGAGUUAAGUCAACCCCCCACUUCAUCAUCACCUAGCACUUUACUUUUCAUCCUCUUUGCAUUUUUGUUGUUGAUAAUAUAAAGUCGAUCCUAUAAGAAUUUCACUGACCCCGCCUCCCAGCCCCACCCCCAAGGAUAUAAACUACUGUUUUAGAUAACCCCGUUCAACAAAAACGGCUUCAUUGUCCCACUGCAUCUAUUUAUUAACGCUGAGAGGAGGGAAAAUUUUGAAACGCAUUUGUUCAAUAAAAAUAUGGUGUGUGUGCAUGCAUGGAGGUUUGCACCACACGUGCUGAAAAUUAGAACAAAAACCCAGUAACAUUAAUGCAAUAUAAGGGCCACUACAUGAAGGGCCUGUAAAGAUUGUGUGACAAAAUCGUUUUCACUGUACAUAGUAAAUAUAGAUUGGUUGCUGACAGGAUUUGUCUUUUUUUUCUCAAACUGAAGAUUAAUUCUAAAUAACAGUGGUGGUGGUGGUUUAGUGGCUUCUGUAAUAGUCUGUAUAAUAGUCUUCUGGUGAAGCUGAAAUAAAAGGAUAAACAGGGGGAAAAUAUAUAUAUAUAUA